This 440-nucleotide ribosomal RNA is filed under the name uncultured bacterium. Its description in RNAcentral is "partial 16S ribosomal RNA". It matches the Rfam family "Bacterial small subunit ribosomal RNA", at positions 338 to 795 of the family's 1533-position model. The record is from RNAcentral.
CCUACGGGGGGCUGCAGUGAGGGAUAUUGGUCAAUGGGGGAAACCCUGAACCAGCAACGCCGCGUGAGGGAAGACGGUUUUCGGAUUGUAAACCUCUGUUCUCUGUGAAGAUAAUGACGGUAGCAGAGGAGGAAGCUCCGGCUAACUACGUGACAGCAGCCGAGGUAAUACGUAGGGAGCAAGCGUUGUCCGGAUUUACUGGGUGUAAAGGGUGCGUAGGCGGGCUUGAAAGUCAGGAGGGAAAACCAUGGGCUUAACCCGUGAACUGCUUUUGAUACUGUAGGGCUUGAGUGAAGUAGGGGCGAGCGGAAUGCCCGGUGUAGCGGUGAAAUGCGUAGAGAUCGGGAGGAACACCAGUGGCGAAGGCGGCCUGCUGGGCUGUAACUGACGCUGAAGCACGAAAGCGUGGGUAGCAAACAGGAUUAGAUACCCGAGUAGUC